RNAcentral lists this ribosomal RNA (354 nucleotides) under uncultured Symbiodinium. Its description in RNAcentral is "eukaryotic LSU rRNA". Lineage: Eukaryota; Dinophyceae; Suessiales; Symbiodiniaceae. The record is from RNAcentral.
GGCCCAUGACGUGCUUGCGCUCUUGGGAAUGCCUGAGAGCAUGUCUGCUUCAGUGCUUCUACUUUCAUUUGCUGCUGCUCUUGUUAUCGGGAGCAGUGUUGCUGCAUGCUUCUGCAAAAGGCACUGGCAUGCUAAGUAUCAAGUUUUGCUUGCUGUUCUGACUGAUCAACAUCUCAUGUCGUUUCAGUUGGCGAAACAAAAGCUGAAGUGUGUUCUUAACACUUCCUAGCAUGAAGUCAGACAAGUGAACCCGCUGAACUUAAGCUAAAUGGAUCCCUAUAAAAAAUUCCAGUCUUGACCUCAAGUCGAGCCACGCUACCCGCUGAACUUAAGCAUAUGGAUCCCAAGAGUAAG